Molecule: transfer RNA, 66 nt
Filed under: Potamogale velox
Lineage: Eukaryota; Metazoa; Chordata; Mammalia; Afrosoricida; Tenrecidae
Description: tRNA-Gly
Source: RNAcentral
UCUUUAGUAUAGCAAGUACUGAUGGCUUCCAACCAUCAAGCUCUAGUAUAAACCUAGAAAGAAUCA